RNAcentral lists this long non-coding RNA (6442 nucleotides) under Podarcis lilfordi (Lilford's wall lizard). Lineage: Eukaryota; Metazoa; Chordata; Lepidosauria; Squamata; Lacertidae. The record is from RNAcentral.
UUGUUUCCACCUUUCAGUGAACUUACAUACUUGAUAUUCUGUUUUAUUUGUAGUCUGUGUGGGCUGUGUUUGAAAACUAUAUUUGAUCCAACUGCACCAUAGCAUGCUCUCCAGUGGAGGCUGAUUGGAAGCAGGCAAGACCAGGAUUUUAAUUUAUUUAUUUCUCACAGCAUGUUCGCAGCUAGCAAGCAGCUUGGGGAUGAUUAGUUUAAUAAGCAGAAUAUUUCCAUUUUAAUAUCCUUGAAUAAUGCAGACUAUACACUUAAGAUCAUACACUAUGUGGGGGACUGGGGGAUCCACACAUUUCAGCCACUCCUCUUGAAAACAAAUUUAAUGGUUGUCCUCUAGUCUGCCAGCAUAGCAGGAAAUCUACCUGCAUAUCAAUGAUACCAAAAGCGUCAUUGACUUUUACCCAGCCCAUACAAUUUGUGCCUUUGAAAAUAAAUUAUGCAUCAUUAUACAUCAUUAUGCAUACCUACUAAAUUGUGUUGUAUCAGUUCCUAGUGAUUAAUACUUCCAAACCAACAGACAUUUCCCUUCCAUAAUAAUUAGAUACAGUGUAAGUAUGGGAACGUAAAAGUGGAGGUAGCUGUGAAAGGAAAGGGAAUCACAUGCCCUAUACAGCACAAACACCUUUCCUGGAAUUUUCCCAGGAGAUAAGCCAUCAGGUACACUGUAACUGAUCUGCUGAUUUGAGGAAAUUUAAGGCUGUGUGCACAUUGCCAGCUUAAAACGCAACUAGGUCAUUCUGUUUCUCAGUUUGAAUAUGAAUUGUGGCUGUCGCAUACAAAAAAAAAAAAGGUAAAGGACCCCUGGACGGUUAAGUCCAGUCAAAGGCAACUAUGGGCUUAUGGCGCUCAUCUCACUUUCAGGCCAAGGGAGCCGGUGUUUGUCCACAGACAGCUUUCCGGGUCAUGUAGCCAGCAGGACUAAACCACUUCUGGUGCAAUGGGACACUGUGACGGAAGCCAGGGCACACGGGACAGAGCAAUGGGGACUCACUCCGUUGCAGGAAUUUGAACCGCCGACCUUCAAUUGGCAAGCCCAAGAAACUCAGUGGAAGGGCACUGGGUGCGGAGUAAAUGGGAGUAUGUACAAAGCACAGUUAGUAAAAUAGUAAUGUUCCCCCUCCCUCAGCAGCAAGUUAUUCUAAUAAAUGAUAGCACUGCUGUGACUAAUCCCCAUGAUGGAGACAAUGGAUUGUGUUAGAAUUAGAAUCACAUUAUUUUUGCUAGGCUAGGAACUAAGAGAACUAACCAUACCUGGAGCAGAUCCUGCAUCCUGUCCAUGGAGCCACUUUAGAAAUUACAUGUCAGCAUACCGCAUUAUGCUGCAUUAAUUAUCAGACACUUUAAAGAACAGUUGUGAAUAUAGCAAAAGUGUAUGCUCUGCUCUGUUUUGCAGAAGUAGAGUCACCUGCUACUGAUGCCACUGGAUUAGACUGAGGCAUUCCCCACCGCACAUACACAAUUUACAGCUUCAGAUAAAACACCAUAUGAUAAAGUAAAGCCACAGAGGUUUCUGGUAGAUCAUUUAAUUGCUGUUUGCAUGCUUGAGACCAGGCUGAGACAUAGCUGGUAAGGUAGGGGCCCUAACAAAGCAAAACAAGGGUCCGGUGAGGAGGGGUUGAAUUCCAUAUGCACAUAGCUUCAUACCUGUCAUGUUUUAAGCACCUGGUAGCAAUCCAACAGGAAGGAGCUUGAAAGGAAACAGAAUAGUUGAAUUAUGAACACUACAUCGUUUAUUUGCAGCUAAUGUGUUUAAAAAUUAGCUGUCCUUCACAACAAAACCUGCGGCCCUCUGGAUGUUAUUGGACGCUAACUCUCAUCAGCUCUAGCCAGAAUGGCCAACAGCCAAGGAUGAUGGGAGUUGUAGCCUUACAACAUCUCAAGGACCAUAGGUUCCCCACAGGGUUGGCCCACCCACGAGGCUGCCUUGGGCAGCAGGAUCCAUAAGGGCAGCAGAUCCCAAUGUAGAUCUUUAUUCCCCGUCUUCGCUCACCCAUUCUUCCCUGGUGGGGAGGUGUGUGCCAUUUUGUGAUUUGCUCCAGGGGCCCAAAUGUCUCAGGCUGGGCCUGGUUCCCCACCCCACAUCACCUAAACUAAUGGUGUGUGGUUUCUGUGUCCCUCAUAGAGGUUACCUCCCUGUUUCAAACAGAAUCGUACUCGGGCACUGAAGUGCAAUCAGGGCCGGCCCGUCCAUGAGGUGGACUGAGGCAGCUGCCUCUGGUGGGGAAAUCCAAGGUGCGGCACCCGCUCAGAACCUCAUGAGCUCACUCCCGUUGCCACUGGAGAAGUGAGAAGUGGCAGCAACUCCCUGGUUCUGAUGAGAUCUCACAAGAGCUCCACAAGAUCUCACGGGGCUAUUGCAAGACCAGAAGCCACUGCUGCCGCCGCAACUCCUCACUUCUCCAGUGCCGCCACAAGCAAUACACCACCACUGGGGAUCUUCCUGAAACCAGCACCACUUCUCACUUCUCCAGCACUGCCACGGGCUCCCCCAUCCCAAUAGAAGCGAGGAGAAGCAGCUUUGGCUUCUGGCAAGAUCUCACAGGACUCUUGUGAGAUUUUACUGGAAGCCACCAUGGCCGCCACAGCCUCUUCUCACUUCUCCCAUGGUUGUGGUGGUGGGCACCCUUCUUGCCCUAACACUGCCAGAGAAAUGAGAAGAAGCAGCGGCAGUGGCUUCCACAUCCCAGCGAGAUCUUGUGGACCUCUCAAGAUCCCACCAGAAGCCACCACCACAGUCACACAAUCACUGACAGUGAGGCUUCAAGGGCGGGGUGUGUGUGGAAGCAGCAGGGGAACAACACCUUCCCAUUUUGCCUCUGGCUGCAAAACAGGGUGGGCUGCCCCUGGGUGUAAUAGGCAAAGCGUUGUGUGGCUGUAAGAACUUGGUAGCAAGUCUUCCCUUCAUCUACAAAAUUCCCUGAAUAACCUUAGGGCAAUCUAAUGUCCUUUGCAGGUUGCUGUAAGGAUAACACUAGACAACGUGGUAUAGAUUUCCAUUACUGAACUUAAAUUCAUACUUGGCAGGGAAUCUCCUGUAGAGGCAUUCGACAAACCAUUAUCACUCAACCCACUUUAAUUCACAAGUCUUGUUAUGAGACUAGUAGCUGUUCUGCGUCUUGGAGUUUAUGGCAAUACUAGUAGUAGUUUAGUCUUAACACACUGUUGCAAUUUUAUCUCAGAAACCAUCCUGUGACUUGCAGUAACUUUCUAACAGCUGGAAUAGGUUUUCUCAGCAGCAUAUUGAGGCUUUUGUUUUAUGGAAAGAAUAUUAAUGACAGACAAACUUCCCUGAAAGACACUUUGCUGACCAUGAUCACCAAUCUUCCCAUGUUUCAUGAAAUCAUUGGAUAUGUUUUAGAGCAGUAGUCUUCCACCUUUUCAGACCCAGACUUAGCUUGAACCCAAGCAUGCAUUUGGACCCAUAUCAUAUAUUUGUGGUGCUGCUGCUGCAGCUAUCCCCAUUAGCUAUCAGGCUGUGACCUGGUAGUGGUUUCUGACCCAUCUGUUGAAGACCAGUGUUGAGAUCCCAUGCUCAGUUGAAAUGGGGCAGCUGUGAGCUCAGAGAGGCCUGGCCAGUGACAUAUGGAUGCCACAUAUUUUCUACCUCCAUUGUUGGAACUCCCAGUUCCUGAAAAUCACAUAAGAGGAGAGUGUUUUGUCACUCAGGUUUGAAAACGACUUUUAUCCAGAGAUUUCCCACCCUCUUCUUCAUACAUACAUACAUACAUACACAUAGUUUUAUUUGUAUGCUACCCUUCCAUAGUUCAAACAAAUGUAGUCAUAUACAAUAAAUAAAAUAUUAAAAAACACAACCAAAUUGAACAAUUUCAACAUAUAUCACUAAGAUCUAAAAUAAAGAUACAAAAAAAUAUCAAUAAUGGCAACAACCCCCCCCCCAAAAAAACCCCUAAGCAACACCCCAGUGCAAGAGUAUAUUCAGGUGAUCUGCAAGAAAUGUCAAUGUGACCUCUUGAACAUAUAAUAACCCAAACCAGUAUUAUCCUUGCUCUCAUAAAUGUCAUAAUUACUGUCAACUUGGCAUAGUGCUUUUGUAAAUACAUUUGUCAUAAAGUGUCACCAUUCCAGCUCCUCCUCCCUUUUUUACGCUGUGUGUGUGUCUGAAGAUUAACAUUUGCAAUCGCCAAACCAUUCAGCAAGAUGUGAUUAUAACAAAAACAGGGUCGAACUGUCCUUUACACACUGUCACCUGGGAAUAGUUUGUUUUUCCUCUGAACUUCUGUUAUUGAUUUGUGUGCAGUUUGCUCUUCAGAGGGUCCAUAUGCUCCUGAGGCUGAAAUUCCUGCACGUCUAUGAGUUAGACCCAUUGAACCCACUGGAACAGAUGAAUAAAAACAUGUACAAGCAAGUACAGAGAAUAUUAAGAAGCUGCCUUAUACCGAGUCAGACUAAUGUCCGUUGAGCUCAAUAUUGUCUACACUGACUGGCAGCAGGUCUCCGAGGUUUCCCAGCCCUACCCGGAGAUGCCAGUGUUUGAACCUAGGACCUUCUGCAUUCAAAAGCAGAUGCUCUACCGUAGAUCUGCAGCCCUUGCCCCAAAGCCUCAAGUGCUCUAAAAACACAUUUGCACUCUUCUUUUCCUUAUGUUCUUACAAAGACUCCUGUUUCUUCAACAUUACAGAAAGCAGUUGUUUUGUACAGAGAUGAGAUGCUUGGAAUUGAAGUUCUCAAUUUGAAGUAACUGGAUCCAAUCACUCACAACAACAAAACGUUUUCGUUAUCCCCCACCACCUUUUGUAGUCAUACCAGCAGAGAUAAUUCAGGUGCUGAAUAAGUUCAGAACUCCCUUAUAGGUCUCUGUUACAUAUUUUCCUGCUAUUGUUUGUGUUAAUGGUAGCCUAACUCUAGACAUCUGUCUUUUGUUUCCAGAUGUUUCUUGUUCCAGAUCUAUCAGCUGUGAAUGAGGAGGAAGGAAACAAGUUUUAUUUUAGAUAGCUCAGCUAUAUGGACAACCUGAAGGAAUAUAUUAUUAGCAUGUAAUCUUAAAGUUACAUGAGUUUGGACUAAAUGUUUUUUUGGAGUCCUUCCACCACCAUGCCCAACCCUAACAUUCUGGGGCUAUGGACACAUUACCGUUUAUUCUGCUGUUUGAUGUGUUUCCCCUCAAAGCAAUUUCCACCCACUUUCAAAACAAGCCACAAUUGAGCUGAUGUGUGUGCAUUUGAGACAGCCAUUGUGCAUGCACAGAUAACAGCUUCAUUAAUAGGAGUUUGGGGAGCAAGGUUGCAGAUUUAACGUUAAUGCACAACGGACAAAGACAUCCCCACUCUGCUAUCUGGUGUGUACAGCAAUGUGCAAAUGCGACUUGAUAUACAUUGUAGGCUGCUAAUGUGUACAUGGCCUAUUUGUAAAAAGAGAUGACUAAAGAGCUAAAAGCAGGGGAACAAACCUGAAUAGGAAGGAUGAAAGAAUCCAGUGCUUUUUUUCUGAGGAGGGGACGCAGGGGUAUACAAACCCCUAAACCAGGGGUCAGCAAACAUUUUCAGCAGGGGGCUGGUCCCCUGUCCCUCAGACCUUGUGGAGGGCUGGACUAUAUAUAUUUUUUGGGGUGGGGGUGAAUGAACAAAUUCCUAUGCCUCACAAAUAACCCAGAGAUGCAUUUUAAAUAAAAGCACACAUUCUGCUCAUGUAAAAACACCAGGCAGGCCCCACAAAUAACCCAGAGAUGCAUUUUAAAUAAAAGGACACAUUCUACUCAUGUAAAAAACAUGCUGAUUCCCAGACCGUCCACGGGCCAGAUUUAGAAGGCGAUUGGGCCGGAUCCAGCCCUUGGGCCUUAUUUUGCCUAUCCAUGCCCUAAACAUUUUGUGAAUCUAAGUUUGGCCUCAGUGAGGGACAGUAUUUCAAUAUGAGUAGGAAAAUGAGAGUACCCCUAAACAUUUUUUUUUGGGGGGGGAGCACUGGAAGACUCCAUUUAGUGCAUCCAUUGCACUGAAUAUUAAUAUGAAUUGUAUUUUAUUCCUUCUUUUAUUUAUUACAUUGCAUUUUAUUGUAUUGGAAAUUUAAUUCUAUAAAAUUCCAAUUGCUGUAACGUGUAGAAAAAUAACUGUGGUCUGCAAUAUUCCAGUGGUCCAUGGUCCAGGAGGUGGGGUGAGUAUGGGAACCAAGGAAUCAGCAGCUUUCAUACUGUCAUCAGAGGAACCCUAUGGUUCAAUGAGAACAUCAGUAGAAGUGAGCAAGCCUUCCUACAAGACCUCUUAUCCCACUGUGACCUAAUCAUCCCCUGCAAUGCGCAGCCAGAAGGGUGUGGUGGGCGAACAACUGUGAGGCUCAGAGAACAAAGAGGAUGCUACCUUUCUGUCCCAAGAUAAGCGUGAAAGGAAUGACCGCUUCAAGAAAGCUAGCUCCCCAGGGAAGAUUUCUAGAAUUCCUUGAGGAACUUGGGAGAUUUGAAACACAAAACACUUUACACG